NNNAGCUUGCUUGCCAAGACGCACAGACAUUGGAAGGGGCAACAGAUAUGAGCACGCAGGCGUAUGCGCCGGAGUGAGAAUACCUGUCAGGAUUGCGGGCGUGCAAUGCACGGAGCAAUCCGUAGCUUAU
Molecule: small RNA, 130 nt
Filed under: Blautia hydrogenotrophica CAG:147
Lineage: Bacteria; Bacillati; Bacillota; Clostridia; Lachnospirales; Lachnospiraceae
Description: Clostridiales-1 RNA
Rfam family: Clostridiales-1 RNA
Source: Rfam by way of RNAcentral